GACGAACGCUGGCGGCGUGCUUAACACAUGCAAGUCGAACGGAAAGGCCCUGCUUUUGUGGGGUGCUCGAGUGGCGAACGGGUGAGUAACACGUGAGUAACCUGCCCUUGACUUUGGGAUAACUUCAGGAAACUGGGGCUAAUACCGGAUAGGAGCUCCUGCUGCAUGGUGGGGGUUGGAAAGUUUCGGCGGUUGGGGAUGGACUAGCGGCUUAUCAGCUUGUUGGUGGGGUAGUGGCUUACCAAGGCUUUGACGGGUAGCCGGCCUGAGAGGGUGACCGGCCACAUUGGGACUGCGGUACGGCCCAGACUCCUACGGGAGGCAGCAGUGGGGAAUAUUGCACAAUGGGCGGAAGCCUGAUGCAGCAACGCCGCGUGCGGGAUGACGUCCUUCGGGUUGUAAACCGCUUUCGCCUGUGACGAAGCGUGAGUGACGGUAAUGGGUAAAGAAGCACCGGCUAACUACGUG
Molecule: ribosomal RNA, 468 nt
Filed under: uncultured bacterium
Lineage: Bacteria
Description: partial 16S ribosomal RNA
Rfam family: Bacterial small subunit ribosomal RNA
Source: RNAcentral